GGACUACCAGGGUAUCUAAUCCUGUUUGCUCCCCACGCUUUCGCGCCUCAGCGUCAGGUUAAGGCUAGAAAACCGCCUUCGCCACCGGUGUUCUUCCACAUAUCUACGCAUUUCACCGCUACAUGUGGAAUUCCGUUUUCCCCGCCUUACCUCAAGUACGGAAGUUUCAGAUGCUGCUCCGAGGUUGAGCCCCGGAAUUUCACAUCUGACUUUCCCUACCGCCUACGCGCCCUUUACGCCCAAUAAAUCCGAUUAAUGCUUGCACCCUCCGUAUUACCGCGGCUGCUGGCAC
RNAcentral lists this ribosomal RNA (292 nucleotides) under uncultured bacterium. RNAcentral describes it as "partial 16S ribosomal RNA". The record is from RNAcentral.